RNAcentral lists this ribosomal RNA (451 nucleotides) under uncultured bacterium. RNAcentral's name for it is "partial 16S ribosomal RNA". It matches the Rfam family "Bacterial small subunit ribosomal RNA", at positions 29 to 523 of the family's 1533-position model. The record is from RNAcentral.
AGCGAACGCUGGCGGCAGGCUUAACACAUGCAAGUCGAGCGGGCAUAGCAAUAUGUCAGCGGCAGACGGGUGAGUAACGCGUGGGAACGUACCUUUUGGUUCGGAACAACUGAGGGAAGCUUCAGCUAAUACCGGAUAAGCCCUUACGGGGAAAGAUUUAUCGCCGAAAGAUCGGCCCGCGUCCGAUUAGCUAGUUGGUGAGGUAAUGGCUCACCAAGGCGACGAUCAGUAGCUGGUCUGAGAGGAUGAUCAGCCACAUUGGGACUGAGACACGGCCCAAACUCCUACGGGAGGCAGCAGUGGGGAAUAUUGGACAAUGGGCGCAAGCCUGAUCCAGCCAUGCCGCGUGAGUGAUGAAGGCCCUAGGGUUGUAAAGCUCUUUUGUGCGGGAAGAUAAUGACGGUACCGCAAGAAUAAGCCCCGGCUAACUUCGUGCCAGCAGCCGCCGUAA